CCUUGAAUGAGUGGCAGACAGCGAUCGUUCGUUCACAGAUAUAGUUAUUGCGAUAAUGGAGGAGGAGUAAGGUAAAUGGUAUUUGAAUCAAAGGGAAUCCCAGGGCAAGAUCGUGAACUUAAUCAACACAGCGCUGAGAUUACGACCAGCA
Aedes aegypti (yellow fever mosquito) is the source of this 151-nucleotide long non-coding RNA. RefSeq lists it as uncharacterized. Lineage: Eukaryota; Metazoa; Arthropoda; Insecta; Diptera; Culicidae. The transcript has 2 exons. The record is from RefSeq and is a predicted model, not a curated record.